RNAcentral lists this ribosomal RNA (253 nucleotides) under uncultured bacterium. Its description in RNAcentral is "partial 16S ribosomal RNA". It matches the Rfam family "Bacterial small subunit ribosomal RNA", at positions 524 to 776 of the family's 1533-position model. The record is from RNAcentral.
UACGGAGGGGGCUAGCGUUGUUCGGAAUUACUGGGCGUAAAGCGCACGUAGGCGGACCUGCAAGUCAGGGGUGAAAUCCCGGGGCUCAACCCCGGAACUGCCUUUGAAACUGCUGGUCUUGAGGUCGAGAGAGGUGGGUGGAAUUCCGAGUGUAGAGGUGAAAUUCGUAGAUAUUCGGAGGAACACCGGUGGCGAAGGCGGCCCACUGGCUCGAUACUGACGCUGAGGUGCGAAAGCGUGGGGAGCAAACAGG